GAUGAACGCUGGCGGCGUGCCUAAUACAUGCAAGUCGAGCGAACGGACGAGAAGCUUGCUUCUCUGAUGUUAGCGGCGGACGGGUGAGUAACACGCGGAUAACCUACCUAUAAGACUGGGAUAACUUCGGGAAACCGGAGCUAAUACCGGAUAAUAUUUUGAACCGCAUGGUUCAAAAGUGAAAGACGGUCUUGCUGUCACUUAUAGAUGGAUCCGCGCUGCAUUAGCUAGUUGGUAAGGUAACGGCUUACCAAGGCAACGAUGCAUAGCCGACCUGAGAGGGUGAUCGGCCACACUGGAACUGAGACACGGUCCAGACUCCUACGGGAGGCAGCAGUAGGGAAUCUUCCGCAAUGGGCGAAAGCCUGACGGAGCAACGCCGCGUGAGUGACGAAGGUCUUCGGAUCGUAAAACUCUGUUAUUAGGGAAGAACAUAUGUGUAAGUAACUGUGCACAUCUUGACGGUACCUAAUCAGAAAGCCACGGCUAACUACGUG
RNAcentral lists this ribosomal RNA (497 nucleotides) under uncultured bacterium. RNAcentral describes it as "partial 16S ribosomal RNA". It matches the Rfam family "Bacterial small subunit ribosomal RNA", at positions 28 to 507 of the family's 1533-position model. The record is from RNAcentral.